CGGGCGUGAAGACUCUACUUGACUAGCUGAGAGGAGGUGCAUGGCCGUCGUCAGUUCGUACUGUGAAGCAUCCUGUUAAGUCAGGCAACGAGCGAGACCCACGCCAACAGUUGCCAGCUCGUCCUCCGGGAUGGUGGGGACACUGUUGGGACCGCCUCUGCUAAAGAGGAGGAAGGAAUGGGCAACGGUAGGUCAGCAUGCCCCGAAUUAUCUGGGCUACACGCGGGCUACAAUGGGUGGGACAAUGGGUAUCGACACCGAAAGGUGAAGGCAAUCUCCUAAACCCAUCCGUAGUUCGGAUUGUGGGCUGCAACUCGCCCACAUGAAGCUGGAAUCUGUAGUAAUCGUGUCUCAAAAUGGCACGGUGAAUAUGUCCCUGCUCCUU
This 385-nucleotide ribosomal RNA is filed under the name uncultured Methanomicrobiales archaeon. RNAcentral's name for it is "bacterial SSU rRNA". It matches the Rfam family "Archaeal small subunit ribosomal RNA", at positions 955 to 1338 of the family's 1478-position model. Lineage: Archaea; Methanobacteriati; Methanobacteriota; Methanomicrobia; Methanomicrobiales. The record is from RNAcentral.